RNAcentral lists this ribosomal RNA (652 nucleotides) under uncultured marine group I thaumarchaeote. RNAcentral describes it as "bacterial SSU rRNA". It matches the Rfam family "Archaeal small subunit ribosomal RNA", at positions 352 to 1010 of the family's 1478-position model. Lineage: Archaea; Thermoproteati; Nitrososphaerota. The record is from RNAcentral.
GCAAUGUGCGAAGCACGACAAGGUUAAUCCGAGUGGUUUCUGCUAAAGGACCUUUUGUCGGUCCUAGAAACACCGAUGAAUAAGGGGUGGGCAAGUUCUGGUGUCAGCCGCCGCGGUAAAACCAGCACCUCAAGUGGUCAGGAUGAUUAUUGGGCCUAAAGCAUCCGUAGCCGGCUUUGUUAGUUUUCGGUUAAAUCUGUACGCUUAACGUACAGGCUGCCGGGAAUACUGCAGAGCUAGGGAGUGGGAGAGGUAGACGGUACUCGGUAGGAAGGGGUAAAAUCCUUUGAUCUAUUGAUGACCACCUGUGGCGAAGGCGGUCUACCAGAACACGUCCGACGGUGAGGGAUGAAAGCUGGGGGAGCAAACCGGAUUAGAUACCCGGGUAGUCCCAGCUGUAAACUAUGCAAACUCAGUGAUGCAUUGGCUUGUGGCCAAUGCAGUGCUGCAGGGAAGCCGUUAAGUUUGCCGCCUGGGGAAGUACGUACGCAAGUAUGAAACUUAAAGGAAUUGGCGGGGGAGCACCACAAGGGGUGAAGCCUGCGGUUCAAUUGGAGUCAACGCCAGAAUCUUACCCGGAGAGACAGCAGAAUGAAGUCAGCUGAGACUUUACCAGACAGCUGGAGAAGAGGUGCAUGGGCCACGGGCGAUU